AUUGAACGCUGGCGGCAUGCCUUACACAUGCAAGUCGAACGGCAGCACGGGUGCUUGCACCUGGUGGCGAGUGGCGAACGGGUGAGUAAUACAUCGGAACAUGUCCUGUAGUGGGGGAUAGUCCGGCGAAAGCCGGAUUAAUACCGCAUACGAUCUACGGAUGAAAGCGGGGGACCUUCGGGCCUCGCGCUAUAGGGUUGGCCGAUGGCUGAUUAGCUAGUUGGUGGGGUAAAGGCCUACCAAGGCGACGAUCAGUAGCUGGUCUGAGAGGACGACCAGCCACACUGGAACUGAGACACGGCCCAGACUCCUACGGGAGGCAGCAGUGGGGAAUUUUGGACAAUGGGCGAAAGCCUGAUCCAGCAAUGCCGCGUGUGUGAAGAAGGCCUUCGGGUUGUAAAGCACUUUUGUCCGGAAAGAAAUCCUUGGCCCUAAUACGGUCGGGGGAUGACGGUACCGGAAGAAUAAGCACCGGCUAACUACGUG
This 486-nucleotide ribosomal RNA is filed under the name uncultured bacterium. RNAcentral's name for it is "partial 16S ribosomal RNA". It matches the Rfam family "Bacterial small subunit ribosomal RNA", at positions 30 to 507 of the family's 1533-position model. The record is from RNAcentral.